RNAcentral lists this small nucleolar RNA (50 nucleotides) under Pyrobaculum islandicum DSM 4184. RNAcentral's name for it is "PISsR108". Lineage: Archaea; Thermoproteati; Thermoproteota; Thermoprotei; Thermoproteales; Thermoproteaceae. The record is from RNAcentral.
GUGACGAAAAGGUCGGAGUGCUGAUAAUAUGAAGAAAAGCGGCGUGCUGA